GCUGCAUGGCUGUCGUCAGCUCGUGUUGUGAAAUGUUGGGUUAAGUCCCGCAACGAGCGCAACCCUUAUCCUUUGUUGCCAGCGGUUCGGCCGGGAACUCAAAGGAGACUGCCAGUGAUAAACUGGAGGAAGGUGGGGAUGACGUCAAGUCAUCAUGGCCCUUACGACCAGGGCUACACACGUGCUACAAUGGCAUAUACAAAGAGAAGCGACCUCGCGAGAGCAAGCGGACCUCAUAAAGUAUGUCGUAGUCCGGAUUGGAGUCUGCAACUCGACUCCAUGAAGUCGGAAUCGCUAGUAAUCGUAGAUCAGAAUGCUACGG
RNAcentral lists this ribosomal RNA (322 nucleotides) under Klebsiella pneumoniae. Its description in RNAcentral is "bacterial SSU rRNA". It matches the Rfam family "Bacterial small subunit ribosomal RNA", at positions 1040 to 1362 of the family's 1533-position model. The record is from RNAcentral. Lineage: Bacteria; Pseudomonadati; Pseudomonadota; Gammaproteobacteria; Enterobacterales; Enterobacteriaceae.